Caenorhabditis elegans is the source of this 21-nucleotide non-coding RNA. NCBI's taxonomy places the organism in Eukaryota, Metazoa, Nematoda, Chromadorea, Rhabditida, Rhabditidae. The record is from Ensembl.
UUUUCCUUUCUGUGCUUAACA